CUUUGCUCCUGCAGACGCGACUGCUUCAUAGCUGACCUGCGACCGCUUUCCCCUGGGUACUGAGUCACAAGUGAGAUGGAUCCCAUGUGACAUUUACCAUGUCGUACUUGCAGUCUCAAGCUCCUUUACAUUACAAAGGUAAGAGUGUAUGGAAUAAAGAGAAAAAGCAAAAGAAAUGUGUUCUUUUUCAAGGGCCCCCAAAAUCUGAUCAGGAAAAAAGUAACCAGAAAGAUUUCUAUAUAUAUAGUUUACAAAAAUUUUUUGUUAUACCUAUUAUACCUUCCAAUUAUAAUUAUAGUUAUUCUUUAGCUUUUGAGUUUUAUGACACAUAUAAAAGACACUUCUCAAAGCUUGUUUAAGUGAUUCUAUUAUUUAUACAAUGGCCUCCCCAUUUAUAAAAUCUAUCUUCUGAUGAUUCCACUCAACCUCCCUAAAAUUACACUGACUUCAAGAAGUGAAGAUUUGGAGAGCACACGGUCUCCUGUGUUUUAUGAAGCCUAUAACUUCAGAGUGUAUUUCAGCCUUUUAAACUUAAGCUCUUAAUAAAAAUGUUUAUAUGUAUAUAUAUAAUUAUAUGUUACACUUAAAUAUAUAAAUAAUUUAUGCUAACAAAAUUACCUAAAAGCUGACUUGCAAGUGCAUGUCUAGAAUUUUAGGAGACUAAAAUAACCCUCAUUGACUUAGGGAGGGGGUUGAUGUUCCUAUUGUUUUGUUUGAGUAUUCUCCAGAGUAAAACUUCUCUACAUUUUCUCCCACUUUUUAUGCAGGAUUAUGUCAACUUCUCUACUGGGCAGCUGUUAUAAAUGAAUGAGGUGAGUUUGAUGCAACAUGAGUAUGUCAUAUGUUAAGCAUAAAGCCACUGUGUCUGGUUUGCUUUGUCUAGAUGUUUUACUUUAAAAUAGCACUUCUUAAAGAGAGUAAUCAUGGGACUAGCAAAGCCUGAGCAGAAUAAUGGCAGAAUAUUUCAGAAUAUGUUCUGAAAAAACAAAUUAAAUACUUCUUCCCUUUAAUCCCAGAAAAUGUGUGGAAGGUAUCUUUAUGAGAUUAUGAGGACUUUAUAGAUAGCAGGUAAUUUGGCUUGCCUACAUGUAAUUUUCAAAGAAGCGAUGGCACCUAUUGAGCUUGAGGUUGAUUUGUGGAUAAUUUAGCAUUUAGACAAGGACUUAUUUUCUUCUCUGAUGUUUUCAGAGUUAUUAGAAAAAUUAGACUAGAACAGAUUUUGCAUAUCUAGUUCUCUUCUUUCAUCUCAUCUACAUGAAAAGUAUUUAUAAGCAGCAGGAUUGAGAAGUUUGGGAUACAUAAGCCAACGUCCCUGCCUCUCUGUUGGGUCUCCUGACAUUUUGGAAAUGGGUGAAAAGUUUGAUAAAUGGUUUUCAAUAGGUAUUUCCUUUCCUUUCUUUCUCUUCAGAGCUGCCAAACAAGGAGCAUCAGGUUAUUUGGACCACAUUCAAGGCGUGUAUUGAAAAUGGCUUCCUAGUUCUCUGCACUCAAAUUAUUCUGACAUCAAGAAAGAUCUCUCUAAAGACAUAGUAAUGAAGAUAAACAGCAUACUGCAAGGAGUCUGCGGGAUCUCCCAUGAACAAGCAGAGAGAGAAGUCAACAAUGG
Molecule: long non-coding RNA, 1606 nt
Organism: Capra hircus (goat)
Lineage: Eukaryota; Metazoa; Chordata; Mammalia; Artiodactyla; Bovidae
Exons: 3
Source: RefSeq, a predicted model, not a curated record